CAUGAAUUGAAAUAAUAUUUACAACAUAAUAAUAGUGUAAUAUUUUGUUUGAAAUAAAUUACAGGAAAAUUCGUAUAAGAAAUGGUGUAGAACAGUGGCUGGCAAAUGUAGAGAAAAGCAUGUUUGAAGUGCUGAAAAAGAAGAAGCUGGAAGCUCCAGAUUCCUUCCUGAUUAUAAGAUGCUGUGCUAGAAUCAGGAAUCUGUGUGUCUCCCCCGUCCCAUUUUGGUGUGGAUAUUUUCUCCACUUUUAUCUGCUGUGCACAAGUCUGUUUGGUGAGUCUGUGGGACAGGGAUGACUGUGGCCUUCUCUGCUGCCAUGUAGCUCCUGCUUGCUUGUUUGUGUGGUUUUUAUAAUGAUAGGUAUGUGU
Molecule: long non-coding RNA, 368 nt
Filed under: Chinchilla lanigera (long-tailed chinchilla)
Lineage: Eukaryota; Metazoa; Chordata; Mammalia; Rodentia; Chinchillidae
Description: lncRNA (ENSCLAG00000027845.1)
Source: RNAcentral